AGAGUUUGAUCAUGGCUCAGAGCGAACGCUGGCGGCGUACUUAACACAUGCAAGUCGAACGAGGAUCUUCAGUGUAGCAAUACAUUGUUGGUCCUAGUGGCGCACGGGUGAGUAACACGUGGGUGACCUGCCCUUGAGCUCGGGAUACCCCCUCGAAAGGGGGGCUAAUACCGGAUACGUUCCUCGGUCGAAAGACUGAGGAGGAAAGGUGGCGCAAGCUGCCGCUCUUGGAGGGGCUCGCGGCCUAUCAGCUAGUUGGCGGGGUAACGGCCCACCAAGGCUAUGACGGGUAGCUGGUCUGAGAGGACGACCAGCCACACGGGGACUGAGACACGGCCCCGACUCCUACGGGAGGCAGCAGUGGGGAAUUUUCCGCAAUGGGCGAAAGCCUGACGGAGUGACGCCGCGUGUGGGACGAAGGCCUUCGGGUCGUAAACCACUGUCAGUGGGAAAGAUGGGUGUCGGUGUUAAUACCAUCGGCAUCUGACGG
This 490-nucleotide ribosomal RNA is filed under the name uncultured Halothermothrix sp. RNAcentral's name for it is "bacterial SSU rRNA". It matches the Rfam family "Bacterial small subunit ribosomal RNA", at positions 8 to 475 of the family's 1533-position model. Lineage: Bacteria; Bacillati; Bacillota; Clostridia; Halanaerobiales; Halothermotrichaceae. The record is from RNAcentral.